CGUCUAUAUACGUAUAGCAUAUCAAUAAGCGGAGGAAAAGAAACUAACUAGGAUUCCCUCAGUAACGGCGAGUGAAGCGGGAAGAGCUCAAAUUUGAAAUCUUCAAGGUUCUACCUUGACGAAUUGUAGUUUAAAGAAGUGUUUUCUGUUGGAGUUUUGGUAAAAGUUCUUUGGAAUAGGACAUCAUAGAGGGUGAGAAUCCCGUAUUUGACCAUUAUUUCCAGCUUUGUGAUACACUUUCAAAGAGUCGGAUUGUUUGGGAAUGCAGUCCAAAAUGGGUGGUAAAUUUCAUCUAUAGCUAAAUAUUGGCGAGAGACCGAUAGCGAACAAGUACCGUGAGGGAAAGAUGAAAAGAACUUUGAAAAGAGAGUUAAACAGUACGUGAAAUUGUCAAAAGGGAAGCGUUUGACACCAGUGUUGUUUUCUCGAAAAUCAAUUAAAAAAGACUGGAUUUUGUGUUGUAUUGACUUUAUCAGCUUUCUGCACUCUUUUCUUGUCUUUUUUAAUGCACUUUUCGUUUAACAAGUCAACAUCAAUUUCUUUUGUUGUAAAAGGGUCAUUGGAAGGUGGCUUUCUUUUCGGAGAAAGUGUUUAUAGCCUUUGGCCUCUGCAAUCGGAGAGAUUGAGGUCUGCAGCGUAGAUCCUUCGGGGUUAGAUACAUUUGUGCUAAGUUAUAGCCUUUCAUAGACAACUUGUUGACUAUGAUCAGUCAUGUAGCUUACUCGCUUAUGCUAUUUUACCUACGCUUAGGAUGUUGAAGUCAUCGUAUCGCGC
This 774-nucleotide ribosomal RNA is filed under the name uncultured Neocallimastigales. RNAcentral's name for it is "partial large subunit ribosomal RNA". It matches the Rfam family "Eukaryotic large subunit ribosomal RNA", at positions 26 to 645 of the family's 3401-position model. The record is from RNAcentral. Lineage: Eukaryota; Fungi; Neocallimastigomycota; Neocallimastigomycetes; Neocallimastigales.